This 148-nucleotide non-coding RNA is filed under the name Chlorocebus sabaeus (green monkey). Lineage: Eukaryota; Metazoa; Chordata; Mammalia; Primates; Cercopithecidae. The record is from Rfam by way of RNAcentral.
GCUGGGCAUGGUGGUGCAUGCCUGUAAUCCUAGCUACUUGGGAGGCUGAGGAAGGAGAAUUGCUUGAACCCGGGAGGUGGGGGUUGCAGUGAGCCAAUAUCACGCCACUGCACUCCAGCCUGGGUGACAGUGCAAGACUCCAUCUCAA